RNA transcript from Mus musculus (house mouse), 2509 nucleotides. It is a transcript of the gene named BRD8 domain containing, with no coding region annotated. The record is from RefSeq and is marked validated. Lineage: Eukaryota; Metazoa; Chordata; Mammalia; Rodentia; Muridae. The transcript has 8 exons.
UUUGAGUUUGAAGACAUAGAAAGACUAGAAAGUGGGGAGGGUGGGAUGCAAAGUGUGUAUUGCUCUUCCAGAGAAGUUGAAUUCAGUUUCUAGCACUCACAUCAGGCCUCUUACAACUCUUAACUCCUGCAACUGAGGAGCCAACAUUUCACACAGGCAUAUAAAUAUAAACAGUAAUUUUUAAAAAAAAUUCUUUUUUUAAACCAAGGAAGUAACUUGAACAGAGAAAAAACUUUAAAGGAAUUAAUGACAAAGAAGAAGACCAAGCAAGAACUCAAGUAAAGAAGACAUGUUGAAAGCUAUAUCUAGAUGCUGGGAAUGUAGCUAGGUCAUCUUAACACUGAGGAAAUCCUGGACUCCAUUUGUAGCACCAGAUAAAACCAGGUCACCUUCUCAGCUACCUACUGAAUUCAAGGUCAGUCUACAUGAGACCCUAUCUUUAAAAGAAAGAAAAAAGAAAAUUGCAAAAGGAAGGAAACGAGAAGGUGAUUAAAAUCUGUGUUUUGGGCUGGAGAGAUGGAUCAACAUGUUGGAAGAGUGCUGCUUGUUCUUCCAGAGGACCUGAGUUUGAUUCCCAGCACCUACAUCAGGUGGGUUACCACCACUUGUAAUGCCAGGGAUCAAUUUCUCCCUCUUCUGACCCCAUGGACUCCUGUACACGUAUGGUAUUCAUUCACUCACGCACACAGAUAUACCACGUUAAAAAAAAAUCUUUAAAACUUCCAAAUAAAUGAAUAAACAAAUGAAUAAAACUCAAGUGUUUCUGUUUUUCUUCUGACAGUCAGAUAUGACCAGAAGGAUGCCAAAGGUAACCAUGAGUGUUUUGAAACUGAUGAUUAAUAAGUUAAUAAUAGAUUAAAAUUGGUAUACACUGAGGAGUAAAACUUUUUUAUCCUCAAGUUUAUUGUCUUUGAGUUCCUGGGUGAUUUGUGAUAAAACAAGUCUAUUAAGCCAGAAAUGUUCUAAUUCUUUCUCUUCUUUUGGAGUAUGAACAAAUCCAAGUUUUAAAGUGGGGUAAUAUAAACAAAGCUAUUUUUUCCCAAGGCAUAAUUUUUUUUUUUAUUUUCUCCCUUCAUCUAGACUCUAUGCCUCCUAAUAAAUAGACAUUUCUGGACCUUUCCUAUGAACUUGAAGAUAGGGGUGUAAUGGGAGUGUUGACUUGAGUGUAUUUUUAAUUAACACAUUUUUUUCUAUGUGUUUACAGGCGGGGUGUGAGUGGGUUUGGUUGGAUUCUGGACAAGACUCUCAUGAUGACUCUGAGUUGAGCAAUGACUGCAGGUCCCUCCUCAGCUCUUGGGACUCCAGUCUGGAUCUUGAUGUGGGCAGCUGGAAGGACACCGAGGAUGCAGAGGCUGAGGCUGAUGAGCCCAAGGAAAGCAGCCCAGAGAGAGGAUGUAGCGAGCUUCUUGUGGGUGACGUAGAAAGUGAAGAAGCUCGGGAAGAGGCAGAACAAGGCACACCCCAGGAACUGCUCUCUGAGAUCGGAUCUGGCCACUGAGCCCCGGGAACUCCUGAGGUCCUUGAGCUUCAGCUUCCUAAGGCCUGGAACUUUCAGGGGGAGGCUCAGCAAGACUCAAAAGAGGAUGAUCAAGGUGAAGGGUCUGCUUCAGACGGAGAAGACACGCCCCCUUUAGGUGAGGGGGAAGGCAUCCGAGUUCAGGAAGCUCCCCUGGUGAAUAUCCUGUACAGCUCCUCACAACUGAAUGACCUAAGCCAAGGUGAUCCUAUUCAGGAUCAGUUCCUAUUUAAGAAGACUCUUUUGCAAGUCUGGAAGAUGAUUGCCAGUCACAGGUUUAGCAGCCCAUUUCUAAAACCCGUGUCAGAGAAGCAGGCUCCAGGAUACAAGGAUGUGGUGAAAAGCACUCACAGACUCAAGAUAUGGUCUACAGCCAAUGAAGCUCUGCCUCUACCUCUUGAGGACUAGAGUUAUAGACCCAUGGACUUAACGACCCUGAAGAGGAAUUUGUCUAAGGGACGCAUUCACACCAUGGCUGAAUUCCAGCGGGAUCUGAUGCUGAUGUUCCAAAAUGCCGUGAUGUACAACGACUCUGAUCAUCACAUAUACCACAUGGCUGUGGAGAUGCAGCGGGAAGUCUUGGAGCAGAUCCAGGUUCUGAGUACUUGGCUGGAUAAAAGGAAGGACUUGAGUAGUCUGGAAUGAGUGCCAGCUAAUGUGGUGGAUGAAGAAAGGGGACUUUGUUAGCCUGGAACUACAAGUCUGGUUCUUUCUCAAGUUACAGCUCUUCUUAGGACUGGCCAGAGACGAUGUGAAGACUUUCCCUCCCUCUCUCUCUAUUCCCUUUCCAAAUAAGGACAGUAAUGCCUUGCCUCCUAACUAAGAAGCCAAUGGUGCUUGCAGAUGGAAUAUUUUUUAAAGGGGUGGGGUGUGGUGGGGUGGGGUACCAAGAUCUGGAUUUAUGGUGUAAAUAUUGCUCAUAUUUUUGUUGCAUAGACUUAGAAGUAAUUUGAUUGAACCUUUGUUUCUCUAUAAAUAAAUAUUUCGCAAACU